CGGCCCGUCGCAGCAAUGGCCGCGCGCCGGGCGCUACUUGCCAUCCACGUGUAAGCAAGCAACCCGUUGCCCGGUGAACCCGGUCAGAGGUUCGAAUCCUCUCGGGCGUACCA
RNAcentral lists this transfer RNA (113 nucleotides) under Bryobacterales bacterium. Its description in RNAcentral is "tRNA-OTHER". Lineage: Bacteria; Pseudomonadati; Acidobacteriota; Terriglobia; Bryobacterales. The record is from RNAcentral.